This 528-nucleotide ribosomal RNA is filed under the name Bombus sichelii. Its description in RNAcentral is "partial 16S ribosomal RNA". The stretch from base 376 to 528 matches the Rfam family "Bacterial large subunit ribosomal RNA", at positions 2473 to 2626 of the family's 2925-position model. Lineage: Eukaryota; Metazoa; Arthropoda; Insecta; Hymenoptera; Apidae. The record is from RNAcentral.
GGCUUAUUGAUAAUAAUUUUAAGUCUAUCUGCCCAAUGAUAUUAUAAUUAAAUGGCUGCAGUAUAAUUAACUGUACAAAGGUAGCAUAAUCAAUUGUUUUUUAAUUAAAAACUGGAAUGAAAGAAUUAAUGAGAUAUAUACUGUCUCAUAUAUAUAUAAUGAAAUUAAAUUUUUAGUAAAAAUGCUAAAAUAAAUUUAUGGGACGAUAAGACCCUAUAGAAUUUUAUAUUUAUAUUUAGAUUUAAAUUUAUUUUAAAUAUAAAUAUUUAAUUGGGAGGAUUAAUAAAUUUAAAUAACUUUAUUUAGAAUAAAACCUUUAAUUAAAGAAUAAUUUUUGAUCUUUUAUUAUAAAUUAAAAGAAAAAAUUACCUUAGGGAUAACAGCGUAAUAUCUUUUUAAAGAUCAUAUUAAUAAAGAUGAUUGCGACCUCGAUGUUGAAUUAAGAUAAAUUUUAAAUGGAGAAGUUUAAUAAUUAAGUCUGUUCGACUUUUAAAAUCUUACAUGAUUUGAGUUCAAAUCGACGUGAGU